UCUAACGUGCUCAUCGUUUAUCUUAUCAGUAGUGACAUUUUUAGAUUUGAAUAUUGUGGCGUAAACGUGAAAAACGAAAAAACAGUCGACUUCACGUUAUUUAGUUUUCAUUUUAGGCGAAACUUUUCACUUCGUUUAGAAAUAAUGAUCAAGGUAUGAUCAAGGUAAAUUUCAAGCUAAAACUGCACAGUCGGAACUAAAAUAUUUUUUGCUUUAACCUUACCGCCACGUGGAAGUUGAGAGAUAAUUGUAGUUAAUAAAAAGACGUUAAGAGUCUACUUAUUGAGAAUUUAUAACGACGACGUCAGCACGGAAUAUUUAAUGGAAUACUAAGAGGCAAAGUGGGAUCCAAGUGAUCGGUUAUCGAUCAAGUUCUUGAUGCUUGUCGGCUCUACAGUAAACGUGAAUUCUCGAAUCGGACGUUCUGUUUCCCAAGAGUCUGCUCAGAACCUCAUCAUUGAUUCCACCGUGUGCACGAGUACAGCCAGCUCCACUGAUUUUUACCCUGCGAGGGGAAUACGAAUUCCCCAUGAUCGUUUCUGUACACAGUGAAUCCCGUACCGAAUGCCAUGAUCCGAUUAGGAUUUCGAAAACCGGUUUAUUUGGACUUUCUGAAACUCGAAAACCGGUUCCAUAAAUCUGGAAAUAUUGGUUUGUUAUUGCAUUGAAAUCGUCAAAUUGGAAUCGACUUCGACGUAAAGAUUGUUCAGCAAAUCUCUUCAUAAGUCAUGUGAAUCUUUGAUACACAAAUGCAUUUUGCUAUGCUACUCUGUGUGGUACGUCAUGCUGUUUGAAAUUAUGAUUCCUGGAAACAAAGACACUAUAAAUUUGCUAUUAUAGAAAAAUAUAAAUUUUACAAUUUAUAAAAAUAUACAAAUCUACAAUUUAUAAUAUCAACAGAA
Non-coding RNA from Megalopta genalis, 902 nucleotides. Lineage: Eukaryota; Metazoa; Arthropoda; Insecta; Hymenoptera; Halictidae. The record is from RefSeq and is a predicted model, not a curated record.